This is a non-coding RNA of Neoconidiobolus thromboides FSU 785, 73 nucleotides long. The record is from the annotation of a GenBank genome assembly. Lineage: Eukaryota; Fungi; Entomophthoromycota; Entomophthoromycetes; Entomophthorales; Neoconidiobolaceae.
GGAGCGUUGGCCUAAUGGAUAAGGCUUUAGACUUCGGACCUAAAGAUUGCGGGUUCGAGUCCCGUACGCUUCA